RNAcentral lists this ribosomal RNA (463 nucleotides) under Vreelandella stevensii. Its description in RNAcentral is "partial 16S ribosomal RNA". It matches the Rfam family "Bacterial small subunit ribosomal RNA", at positions 338 to 795 of the family's 1533-position model. Lineage: Bacteria; Pseudomonadati; Pseudomonadota; Gammaproteobacteria; Oceanospirillales; Halomonadaceae. The record is from RNAcentral.
CCUAGGGGGCAGCAGUGGGGAAUAUUGGACAAUGGGCGAAAGCCUGAUCCAGCCAUGCCGCGUGUGUGAAGAAGGCCUUCGGGUUGUAAAGCACUUUCAGUGGGGAAGAAAGCCUUGGGGCUAAUACCCUCGAGGAAGGACAUCACCCACAGAAGAAGCACCGGCUAACUCCGUGCCAGCAGCCGCGGUAAUACGGAGGGUGCGAGCGUUAAUCGGAAUUACUGGGCGUAAAGCGCGCGUAGGCGGUCUGAUAAGCCGGUUGUGAAAGCCCCGGGCUCAACCUGGGAACGGCAUCCGGAACUGUCAGGCUAGAGUGCAGGAGAGGAAGGUAGAAUUCCCGGUGUAGCGGUGAAAUGCGUAGAGAUCGGGAGGAAUACCAGUGGCGAAGGCGGCCUUCUGGACUGACACUGACGCUGAGGUGCGAAAGCGUGGGUAGCAAACAGGAUUAGAUACCCCAGUAGUC